This 490-nucleotide ribosomal RNA is filed under the name uncultured bacterium. Its description in RNAcentral is "partial 16S ribosomal RNA". It matches the Rfam family "Bacterial small subunit ribosomal RNA", at positions 28 to 507 of the family's 1533-position model. The record is from RNAcentral.
GAUGAACGCUAGCGAUAGGCUUAACACAUGCAAGUCGAGGGGCAGCAUGGUCUUAGCUUGCUAAGACUGAUGGCGACCGGCGCACGGGUGCGUAACGCGUAUGCAACUUGCCUCACAGAGGGGGAUAACCCGUCGAAAGACGGACUAAUACCGCGUACACUCCAUCUUGGGCAUCCAAGGUAGAGGAAAUGAAAUUCGCUGUGAGAUAGGCAUGCGUCCCAUUAGCUAGUUGGUGAGGUAACGGCUCACCAAGGCGACGAUGGGUAGGGGAACUGAGAGGUUGAACCCCCACACUGGUACUGAGACACGGACCAGACUCCUACGGGAGGCAGCAGUGAGGAAUAUUGGUCAAUGGGCGAGAGCCUGAACCAGCCAAGUCGCGUGAAGGAUGACUGUCUUAUGGAUUGUAAACUUCUUUUAUACGGGAAGAACAAGAGUCACGUGUGACUCCCUGCAUGUACCGUAUGAAUAAGCAUCGGCUAACUCCGUG